CGCACCGAUGAAUCAGAAAAUUAUCCGACGAAAGGUAAAUUAGAAAUCCGGUUGAUGAAAAUAAAUGUGUCUUAAUAGUUAAUGAACGCUGUCACAUUUCCAGAGGACGUAAUAUAAAGUUAGGAAACAUACAAAAAUUAGGCAUACAUGAUGUCAUAGACGUGUCUUAAAAUGAAAUAUUCACCAUGGCUUGGAAAAUGAAAAUAAAUCGCAGUUAAAUUGGUUGUUUGAAAUCUAAAUACAAAUGUUUGCUUUAAAUAACCAAAUCUGCUCCGAGUUUAGUGACCAGAACUUAUGAAGGAACGUUUCCCGCUGAGCACUUGAUUUACUGUUGUUAAUACGCGAAGGAAGAAAAGGUUUACAUAGAGAUUAGGUAUCGCAGAGUAACUAGUCCAGCGAUUACAACCAUGGACCAUGAUUUUCUACGAUGACAAACGUGACAUGUGUUGACGCGCGACAUGAUCAGUAAUAAAUUUCAAACAAUAACAAAGUUACUCAUGUGUGUUGAGAUCUACUCAAGAUAUGGUAUACAAUCAGACACUCAAAUGUUCAUGUUUCCAACAGGAAAUUAUAUGGCAAGGAUCUGUUUAGCAACUAUUGCAGCGUAAUGUAAACUACCGUUGAUAAAUAUUCGUAAAAUUCCCACGGUGAUAUUGUUGCACGAACAAAGCGCUUUCAAAGAUGAGAAUAUUGUUGGGUCUGCUAUUUUACAUACAAUAGUUUGCUGAACUAGACAUCUUACCGAAACAUGCGCAGAAAAGAAUCGCAUACUGUUUCUCUACCCAGGGCUCGUGUACGAAUACGAAAAAGAGAUUAACGAAAUUUUCAGCUGCGCCACCUUAAAAUUUAUAAUUCCCUGGCUGGCGCCCGACCGUUUACGCCCACACCAAGUGUUGUGCACAAUGCAGUAUACUCGAUAAACACGCCUAUUCGCCACUUGAAAAAUCGUUGAUUGUUAGUUACAAAUUGUUUCGCUUGAAGACUUGUCACCUGGUUGAGUGACGUAUUUAAUAUCGACUUAAGUAAUUUAUAAUAUUCUGGUGUCGACAUUGAAUAUUAGGCGUUUAAUUAAAUUAAAAAUUAUGGGUAAAUAAAUAAAAAACAAUCAUUCUUUAUUUCGAUAAAGAUUAUACAUUUUCAGUACAACGUUUUAAUAAGUGUUGGAUUAUAAAAUUAAGAAACUUGAGCCAUUUUAGUUCUAAUAUUAACAAUAAUGGUAUAAACGAUUCUUUAACAAUGUUCGAAUGUUCUGUUGCAAUUAAUGCAACCGUAACGACCUUGGCAAUUUACAUUCUUGUCGAUGUUUCCAACGAAAUCGUUCUCUCAGGCAGAAACAAUGCCUUUGUUCCGUUUUUCCAUCAGAUGCUAUAUUGCCAUCCUUCUAGCCAUCAGCCUUGGCAAAUACAAAAGUGGAUAAACACUGCACCUCGUAUAUAGAAAUUUUAAUUCGAACUUCCUGUUUAUUGCACCGACUAUGAGCAAUGAAAAAACCAGACAAAAUUCCAGUUACACAAAUUUACCCCAAAACCUAAAUUUAACGAACUUAAAAAUACAUCGGUGUAAACGACCGAACCGACAACACGGGACUUCCCCGUGCAUCUCGGAAUAAACGUUAUCUCACGCAUAUAUUAACACAGUGCCCAAUCGAAGGUUCAAUUAAAUAGAUAAUUAGCACGCAUCAAGCGAAUGUAGCGAUUAACGAAACCGAGAUACAACCUAAUUACUCUUUACAUCUGCGCUGGUCAUUAUACCGUAUUAUUUGAAAUCGGUCGGCAACCGGUAACAUAACCGCUACUUUCCCUAAUCUCCUUAAAACUUUCCAACUGACCCUAGCAUUAUUUAAAUCCCGCGAUAAAUUGGAUCUAAUGUACAGGAUAAAUAGACCGCGAAGGAUUAACUGCACGAAUCCGAGGAUAAUGGCGUACAGCUGUACGAAACUCGGUCGGACGUAAUCAGGCUGUUUGCACGGUUAACCGUACUCGAUUUAUUAAGCAACAUGUAUAAUGGUUAUACAUGUAAGUAUGGUCGCGAGACCUGUAUCCUCUCGGCCAGCACGUUUUAUCUCGCACGGUUUGCAAACCGCACAAGCGAACCGAAACGCACGUGCGUUUUGCAAGAGGCAACGGGAGCGGGUGUUGACUCAUUUCGCGCAACUUCCACGGCUGCGUCGUUUAAAACUCUCUGUUCUUGUGUCCGUCUUGCAGCUGCUACGAGAGAGCAGAGUCCAUGCUCGAUCCCGUUUUUCUCUCCCUCGUUGGUAUUGUUCGCAAAUCGUUGCGCGACAAUUUCGCGUUAGGCAUUUCCUUCUUUGUUUCAGAAAAUGCUGCGAUGUCAGCAGGCCACGUGACGUUAUCGCACGCUUUGUGUCGCCGCCAGGAAAGGCACGCGAAGAUAAACAACGACAUGGUGCCGAGGCUAUCCGAGAUGGCGGUGCACGUGUAGAAAAUCGGUUUUGAUUACUUCUUUCCGUAUUUCGUUACAAGCGGCGACGGCACCAAUUUCUACGUAUCUAUACAACUAAUUAAUAUGGAUACGUAUCGAUUGCCAGCGUCAUGUUAUUACGGCAUCGGUCGGUAUAUGAGAAUACCGAGAACCGUUAGGUUUCACUGGAAUUUUGGAACUUUGAGACUUUAAGACUUUAGGGUUUAGGACUUUAGGAUUUUAUGAUUUUGGUACUUUGGGAUUGUGGUACUUUGGGACCUCGAACGAUAUUACACGAUUGAUAAGCUAUCACUGACCGUCUCGUUGCACUUGCACGUGCUAUGCAUAGCAGAUAUCCGCUGUUAUCUAGUCUCAAAGGUGAUUGACAGGAAAAAUAAAUCAGCACUUGCACGAUUAUUUGCAACGUUAUAAAACAACAACACAUCGCGAAUUGAGAACUUCUGCAUUGUAUAUCUACUGAUUUGCAAUCGUUAUUAUUAGUAUCUACUAAAAUAACUGUCAUUUUUGUCCAUAUACGCAGAUAAGAUAAGGAAAAUACUUCUACAAGUUGCAUCAGGAAA
Long non-coding RNA from Megachile rotundata (alfalfa leafcutting bee), 3002 nucleotides. Lineage: Eukaryota; Metazoa; Arthropoda; Insecta; Hymenoptera; Megachilidae. The record is from RefSeq and is a predicted model, not a curated record.